Molecule: long non-coding RNA, 519 nt
Filed under: Bos taurus (domestic cattle)
Lineage: Eukaryota; Metazoa; Chordata; Mammalia; Artiodactyla; Bovidae
Description: long non-coding RNA NONBTAT016704
Source: RNAcentral
GCAAUUUGCCCAGAGUAAACUACAGGCAUUAAAUACAGUCUGAUCUCACCAAAAAACGCACGAAUCAAUGCUAUGGAGUUUGUACUGCAGUCAAAUUGCACACAGAAAGUACAGACUUAAGUUUAAGGUUUCUUAAACUUUGUGCAUAUCUCAAAUAGAUUCUGCAUAAGAUCAGCAAAUAAUGGCCAUAAGUAGGCUAUGAAUCAUUUUAAUUUACAAAAAAAAAGAUUUUACAGCACUGUAAAAAAUAAACGUGGCAAGUUUUUUUUUUUUCAAUCAGGUGGUCUCGUCUGAUUUGUCAUUGUCCAGGUUUGCCAACCAUUGCCAUAGCUACUAUUCGGUAUUCAGUCGAUACCAAAAAAGUGGAUUCGUCACAUCCCUAGUUUAUAAACCAGUGAAACCCCAGAAUCUUAAGGAGAAAAGCUGGAAACAGGUAUUAAGCCUACGUGGUGUUCUCCAAUUUACCAAAACGAACAAGACUUUUCACAUGGAGGCACAGAGUAAGAUCAACUCUAAGAG